GAUUUACUUAAUAAUUAAGUUGUUAACGUGGUAAAGUUAUAAUUUUAUUAUUAAGUGGUAAUGAAAUGUUUUUCGAUUUUUAUGAUAGCUAGUUUAUAGGUAUAGAAUAUUUUAGUAUUAUAAUGUUAAUAUUAUUAGUAGUAGUUUAAUAUUAUUUAAUUUAUAAGGGAUAAGCUUUAUAUAAAAAUAUAGAAUUGUAUAAAUUUUUUUAUUAUUUUAAGUAGAAUUAAGAUUGUUUUUCUUAAUAAUAAUAUAUAAUUUGUUAUUGUUUGUUUAUUCAGGUUAAGUACUUAUAAAUAUUUAUUAAUUAUUAAUAAAUAAAUAUAAUGUUAAUAUGAGUAUUUAAUAUAUUAAUUAGUUAUAGUUGUAAUAAAUUUGUAUAAUUAUAUAAUAAUAUUAAUAAUUAAAUAAAAUAAAGGAAUUCGGCAAAUAUAAAUCUCGCCUGUUUAUCAAAAACAUCUCUCUUUGUAAUUAAUAAAUAAAGAG
This 486-nucleotide ribosomal RNA is filed under the name Acanthosepion lycidas. Its description in RNAcentral is "Sepia lycidas partial 16S ribosomal RNA". The record is from RNAcentral. Lineage: Eukaryota; Metazoa; Mollusca; Cephalopoda; Sepiida; Sepiidae.